Molecule: ribosomal RNA, 17 nt
Filed under: Antirrhinum majus (snapdragon)
Lineage: Eukaryota; Viridiplantae; Streptophyta; Magnoliopsida; Lamiales; Plantaginaceae
Description: partial LSU ribosomal RNA
Source: RNAcentral
GCAACCCCUGGUUAGGC